AUUUUAGUAGCUUAAAUUUAAAGUGUAAUAUUGAAGAUAUUAAGAUAACAAUAUUGUUUUAAAAUAC
This 67-nucleotide transfer RNA is filed under the name Cautires apterus. Its description in RNAcentral is "tRNA-Phe". The record is from RNAcentral. Lineage: Eukaryota; Metazoa; Arthropoda; Insecta; Coleoptera; Lycidae.